UCUUUUAGAAAAAAUAGAUAAUAUUGAAAAAUGUUCUGGUUUGGUUUUAUCUAUAAAAAAUGUAUAGGUUAUUUUGAAGAUAGUUCAGAAGAUAUUUAUACCUUUAUUACUUGGGUAUCAUCAUGGACCAGAGGUUUACGUUUGCCAAACACAUGGAAAUUGUCACCAAAUAACCCUCCUGCCCAGCGGCCGCACUGGCUAGGCUCAUGGCCAACGUUAGAGAUCCAUGCCAGUGAAAUCGGAGACUGUUGUGUUCAGUAGUCGAGAGCCAGGUGUUGUACCUGUUUGGAUAAAUCGAGUGGUUGUCUCGGGCAGGACAAGGUCUAUACUGAUAAUACCGCAGAAGACAGCAGUCCUUAGGGUCAUCUCAGCGUACCGUACAGUUUCCGACGAGGCAUCGCUAUUUCUGACUGUCAUGCCACCGGCCGACCUCCUAAGCCUGGAGAGGUUGAAAAUUAGGGCUUGCCUGCACGCUCUUAUCCUUCCCGGAGAUUCACCUGAUCUGUCCAAGUAUUCUGUCAGAAGGAACGCAAGACGACGGUUGUCCAAGUAUAUGUCACGUCAUUCCUGUUGUCGGAAGUGGAUAGGAAGAACGAUACCGAAGAUGCAACUGACAUAUCACAUGACCCGGGAAUGGCUGCUUCCAGCACUACCUGCACCAGAUGGGUAGGGCUGCCAGUGCAUGGUGUAAUCACUAUGGCAGCAAAGCCAACACUUCCGAAUACACAUUGUGGCGCACCUCAAGCCGCUUACUGACCUCUGAGUCUUUCAACUAAAACUGUGUGGUCUUGAUUUAGAGGGUCUACCCUCUGACUAGGAACAAAAGAUGACAGUCCUCACGGACGCUGAAGAAUUUCCGGGUGUUCUACGCGAUGUUGGAAAAAAUCCUGACUGCAAAGAAUGGCAAGGCAGACGGCCGAGAGGAGGUGACACGAUCCUUCCGCUAAGCGUCUGACGACUCCCCUCCCACCAAGGAGUACGAGUCAAAAGAGUGGUGUACUUAUGCCGGCUCGCAAACAGGCAGUCAGAAUGGAACGUCAAGGACGGAGGGCUAAGGCUUAAGAUUUGAAGUAAAUAUGUAAAAGUUCACUGAAAGUAAAUAUUAUGCAAAAUCUAUAUUGCGUCAUCUAAAUCAAUAAUAGGUGCAUUGCACUUUCAAUAACUGGAAGCCUGCUCGUCGUUUCAUUUAUUUCUCGGGACCACAUUGCCACAGUCAAUGCAUCAUUAGCUAAUUUUUUAGAUUCUUUCAAUAUUCCUAGACCUGGUGGAAUUUGAUGAUCAAUCUAAAAGUGAAUUGCUUCUUCUCAAGGGAAACAUUGAAAGGCUGUUGAAAAUUAAUAGAAGUUUUAUUAACAUGUGUCUAUCAAUAUGUGAUGAAUAGAAUUCAAGAUGGCAACCAAAUUGGCUGUAAUACAUUCACUCUGAAAAGUGGAAUAUUCUUUUACUUCCAAUUAUGUUUAUAGCAAUUUAAUGCUAGACAUAGUUUAUCGGGAACAUAUUUGAGACAUUGUAAUCAUCCUGAUCCUAUAGCAAUUCUAUACCAAGGAGAACCAUUUUUAUGUGCUAACUUUGUUCAAUUUAAAUGCCAAUUAGCCACAGCCUUGGCACAUUAGCUGUGGGAUUAAAGUUUGUUUGCCAAGGCUGAGGUAUUUAGACUGUUCCAAGUUGACUUAUAAAAACAACAGACCUUGUCACAUCAGAGUUGUCACUAUUUCAGAACAAUAAGAUUAUAUGAAAUAUAACCCCAAAAAUAGAUGGGUAUUGAGAUAAAAUUAUAACGUGAUUUAACCAACUAAUGAAUAAAAAUGUUGUUUGCAGUAAUUAGAUUUUUAAAUUAAAAUUGAUCUGUUUAUUUUUUUUUUAUUUGUCAUAUUUUAA
Molecule: long non-coding RNA, 1878 nt
Organism: Metopolophium dirhodum (rose-grain aphid)
Lineage: Eukaryota; Metazoa; Arthropoda; Insecta; Hemiptera; Aphididae
Exons: 4
Source: RefSeq, a predicted model, not a curated record